Molecule: ribosomal RNA, 181 nt
Filed under: uncultured bacterium
Lineage: Bacteria
Description: partial 16S ribosomal RNA
Rfam family: Bacterial small subunit ribosomal RNA
Source: RNAcentral
AUGAAGCUGGAAUCGCUAGUAAUCGCGGAUCAGCACGCCGCGGUGAAUACGUUCCCGGGCCUUGUACACACCGCCCGUCACACCACGGAAGUUGGGAGUACCCAAAGUAGGUUGCCUAACCGCAAGGAGGGCGCUUCCUAAGGUAAGACCGAUGACUGGGGUGAAGUCGUAACAAGGUAUC